CCUCAUGAAACUCACUGAGAAACAGGGCUGUUUUCUGCUGGAUCUCUCAACCUGAAAAGCCCUUGCUCCCUUUUGAUGUUUUUGGAGGGAAAAGUUUCAGGACUGUGAGACACAAUGAAAAAAAACGGGGAACUGAUUUGUUGUGUUUUGUUUUUAAAGAUUGAAUCCAAAUCAAACAUAUUUUAAUUGACUAAAUGAAGCCUUUUGAUAGCUACAGACCAAGACUUUAUUGUUCAGUUUUUUUUUUUUUAUUUGCAAAAACAAGUAUUUGUUUUGCCAAAACAAACUGCAUCUGGGUUUCGAGAGGAAAGCUGUCUCCUGCCCAGAUCUAGCCGCUCUCUCAACCUGACGGGAAGGUUUUCAUGCCAAGCUGCUCUCUGACAAACAAGCGUCAGCACCAAAUCAAAACUCCAGCUGACUUCAGAGGAGAGGCGCGUACAGCGGGAGACGCGAGUGCUCUCAGUUGAGCGCAGGGUCUCCUCUGCGUUGCGUCAAGCUGUGAUUUUACAAGGGCAGCGAUGUGCCCGGGCUAGUGCAGCACAGCACAGCAAGUUCCCGAGCAGCUGAUCUGUGUCUCUCGCUCUCGAAGAUCUCUUCCUGCAUAAUUUAAGACCUGAGUUAAAUUUCGUAUAUGAGCAAACAGCAGCUCCUUGGUUCACAUUUUCAGUUGUCAGCUGAAGGAGAUUUCACUUCAUGUUUGUUACUGCCGAAGUGAGAUGCUGCAAAGCCGUGGAGCAAAGAGCAAUGCUGCUCCUGCUGCCGCCGCACCGACCUUCAGCUCCAUGAGCUGCCAAGGAGCGAUGCAAGGAGAGCACUUACAAGAAAUGGCUAAACGUGUGCGGACGCCAUCCUCCCGCUGCACCCACCGACCUGCGUGACCACAGGCACCUUUCCAAGGUCUGCACCUGCAAAACGGCACUCACGGCACGUGCAUACUCCAGAGGUCGGCAGCGAGCAGAGCGGAUGUCCGGGUUGCACAGCAUGGUGGUGCUUUAGCUCCUUUUCCAGCGGGACUGCCAUGCGGAUGGCACACGCGCUUGUCUCCACCAGCAAGGCAGAGGCAGCACCGCAGGUCGGAUUGCGCGCGCACAUCCCACCGAUGGAGCCCGGCACGCCGACCCGCUUCGUCGCGUUACCACCACCGGGCCCUGCUGGCUCUCCUGUUCGAACCAGGACCACCACGGCCCCCGGCAGAAGAGGUCGGUUCCCUGCAGCACACAAAGCUCAUGCUGAGUCUCUGACACAGACCAAGCAUCAGCCAGCACGUUCCCAGCUAAGGCAAUAUUGCUGCCAGGCACUUAGAAAGCGAAGAAACCACACCACCUUGCUGUGGAGAAGAGGAGAGAUGAAGCUGCGUCAGCCACAGCCGGAUGCCCUCGUUCCUCGUAGCACUUGCCGAGGAGGCAGGUCUCGCUCACCACGCCGGGUACCGUAGGUACGCUGCGCUCUAACUCCUUGUCCUGAAACCUCUGAAGCUGAAUCAUGAUCCCCACUCUCGCUGUUCAUCUGCAGAUGCCCUGAACUCAUUACCACCACGUCGACGAGGACUUCCCCUCCCUCCCACUCCCACUUAAAGUAUUUCCCAGUAGAUUUUCCUAUUUUGUGCUCGAGACACUUCUCACCGGUAAAUGGGGUCGUCUCCCCGCUGCUCUCGGGGUGCGGAAGGUUUGGACGGGAAGCACCACUGCUCUGCUCGCUCCAGCGCGUGGGGAUGUGCGUUAGUGCAGCUGAGCUGUGGCCCCGGCACGCCAGCUGGCCUCCGCUGGGCGUCACAUACUGCACAGUGGCCUCUCGGGGGCCGAGGGAGGGACAGCAGCCCAAGGACUGGAAGAAUUACACACUUUCUAAACAGGACUCUCAUUCCUGGAGCAGGGAAGGACAGCGUUUAAAGAACUCCCUGCACCAUCAGGAACAUGGCCACGUCCAUGACUGGCAUUUGCACUGGUAAUGAGACCAUUUCUAUUGUAAUGAGCUCAUUACUAGUUUUUAUUGCUAUUAUAUUUUGCAUGUUUCACAGACCUGCUUUUUAUUUCCACCUUCGCUUUCUACCUUGGCAACUCUCAGGGCAGUCCCAGUGUCAGAGACUGUCAGCACAGAUGAAUGAUUUAACCCCUGCAGAGAGGCUGAGGAGGGGAGGCUGCUCCUAACCGGUCACAGCGGGGUGGAUGAGAGGAUGGAGUUGUGUCGGAAAACUAAUUUGGUGGGGAGUGCCCAUGCUGUCCCGAAAGCCAGCGACAACAUGGUUUUAUGAACACAUCUCCCAUUCACAAAUGUCUAUACAACACCAGUCCAUUCCUAAUAGGAAGUCUGGCAUAUACAGUAUGCUUUUUGUUAACUGUUUCUUCCAAAUACUGGUUUGGAUCAGAGUUUGUUUCGCUGCCAUUUUGCACUAUUUUGCUUUAAUAAGUUUUGUAUAUGACAAGGCAAAGAAGUCUUGGCUUUCCAGCAAGGCUCAAGUUCCUGGUGUUGCUUAACUAAUAUGAUUGAUUCAACUCCCUUGAGAUCCCUUUUUUCUUUCUUGAGCUUCAAAGGUCUGCACAGUGGGGCAGUCCCCAGAGAUAGUUCUUGCUGGCUUCCAGUGAACCUGUUGGCUUCGGUUGCUUUGGCCAAGCUCCAUCAAAAGUUUGGCUUCAGCUACUUACCAUCACCUUUUCCAGCUGGCCUCUCAGGAGCCACUGCCUCAGCUUUAGCUCUUAGUGAACAGCCAAUACCUCUGUAAAUAACCCUCUACUAACUUUCAGGUUACUUGGCUUCAGUGGUGCAUCACAAGCUGCAGCUCAGGCAGAGGAUCAAAAGGGGCAACUCCACUAAGACCUUGAUGAGGUUUCCAGGAACCUCUGAAGUGGAGUGCGAAUGAAACAUCACGGGGAAUCAGCUGAUGGAAAGGCAUGUUGAUAUGUCAUAUCACUGCCACUAAUACGUGUAACCAUGCCAGCUUCGGCUGGAGCAGAAAAGCCAUUAGGGUUUUAGUUAUGGAGCCAGCUGAGCCUUGCUCUGAACUCGUGCCAUAGGCUGCAAUUCCACUGAUUUGAUUAACAGGGGAUGCACUUAUGGAUUUACAUCCUCUUGCAUGUUAGUGGCCAUAACACCAGCAUGCUUUAACCCCACUAGCCAGAUGAGAGAUGUCCAGUUGGGGACUGGCUAUGUGCCAGACUGGAUUCUUCACCAAAAUAACAUACGAUUGUCUUUGACCAUAAGGAAGGAAGAAGAAUGUUUGUGCUUGCAUCUGACUCCAGAGAAGGAUCUCCCCAAGUGUGACACCUCCAGCCACACUCUUUUUCUUGUCCAUAAAAUUCAGACAUAUUCUGUAAGUCAUAUUCAGAGUCCAAGAACUGCUUAAGAAAAUGAAUUGCUGCCAAAGAACACUAAUGAAAAAAAUACAAGUGUGUGCCCACUUUUUGCUGAUGCUCCCAAGCUACGUUUUGAACCUCAGGUAUGUUAUUUUAAAGAUGUAACUUUCUGGCAGGCUCCUUCUGUCUCACUCAUUUCCUCUGUGUCCUGUGGCUGCUGAGACGUUGUCACUCUUUCAAGCUCAGGGUUAGGGCUGGCCUGUUUUUAAUACUCUAUAGACUUUGGUGGCAUCUGGCAAUACUACUGCCAGCUGUUGCAGAGAAGAUAAAGAAGAAAGCCAGACAUCAGAGUUUAAAAAAAACAUUCAGGGGACUGGGUAUGUUCAAAGACUGAGUCUCACAAACGUUGUAUACUGAAGAAAAAUUUGGAUGCAAAACUUCUGUGUGUUUCAGAUGAACCUUCUGUUCCCUUAUUUGUAUUGCUCACCAAGGGCACAGGGCUUAGAAAUAGCACAAAUGCACAGAGACAGAAUUACAUGCUGUAUCUCCUACAGGAACUGAGAAAUUGUUUGAGUUAACCUCAUUUCCUUUUUCCAGCAUCUUAGAAAUGUCUCUGUGUUGUCAUUCCUUUGUGGCAGUUCAUGCUUCACUGAUAUUUUAUGCUUAAUAAUGUAUGGAGUGAACUGGGACAAUUAGCACAAAUUUCAUUUCUGGCAAGAUCAGCUAUAUACUAUCUGCCUUUGGCUGGAUGCAGCAAGCAGUGUCUUUUCUGCGGGUGUGUGUGGACGCUUCAGAGAUUGUGAUGAAUCACUGCAGGACUCUGGUGAGACACAAACCAGAAGGAGUUUCUUCCUUAGAGAGCUGUGAGCUGAAAUAGCUCCCUUUAAACAAGUCCCAUACAACCAAAAUCCCGGGUCCCAAAGGGAACUCAAAUAGUCCUCCACCUUCACGGAGCUGGUACAAGCUCCAUAAGAAACCUUUUUCCUUUCAGCUACUCUCAGCUCUCACCUCUUCUCCCCAAGACCAGUACCCCUCGGUGGGACUCACAUCAGCUCAUUAGUACCUUGCAAGUCAGUGCUGGAUUUCUACAAUGCACUACCCAGUGCCAGGGUCCUCGUAAGGUAUUCACACAUCUUGUCUCUCACUAGAAGACCUUUUUCUUUUCUUUUUUUUUUUUUUUUGAAAUGUUACCUUAAGUCCCCCAUAGCCCUCUUGGUAACAGCUAAACCACAGAAAACAUACAAGAGAAAUAUAUCCAGGUUGUUAUUUUUCAGCAGCUGGCAAGUUUUUAUAUGAGAUAGCUACACCUAGAACAUCAGUGUUUUGAUCCCGGCUGGAAUCCAGAAGGAUGGGGUGAAAAUGUCAAACACAAUUUUGCAAGCCAUGUGGUGGGUUUGGUAAAAGACACACAAAACCAGGAAAUCCAUACAGAGGACAGCAGGUUAGCGGAUGCUGGUUACGUCCUCCUUUCCACAAUUGCUGUGUGUAUUUAUUACAACUAUUACUAAAAUUAACUGAGUUAUCUAGUCCCUAGGGUUCAAUACCUCUCACAUUGCAACCUACUUGAAAUCUUCUGUGUCACACAGGACACAAGAAUGGUGCAGGGGAUUAAAGUGUCAGGAUUGCCAGCAUACAAAAUAGUCAAGAAUUCCAAUAACUUAAUGACAGUUGAACUUUAUUUUUAGAAUGUGACUGACAGGUGAUGGUGGAGCAGUGCUGUCCAGUUAGCUCCAAUGAACCCAGUAAAAGACCACUGAAGACAGUGACAAAGAUGUCGUCGCUGACUGAAGACAAUAUUCUGGCCCUGUAUGGCAUUUCUGACAUGCAGCAAUCAGAGUGUCAUCUUUUGCUCAUUUUUUUAUGGCUCAUUUCUCUUUUCUCUUGCCUCUGGCUCUUUUGCCUCCGAGCUUUCCUAUGACAUAAGGUGGAUAAAAUGUCAACCCAGGCUAGUUCUGUGAUGGUUCGUAUUGUGCUGGGUUUUUUUUCUUUGAAAGAAUAAAAGCAUUUAGUAGAACUAAGGUACAAUUCAGUGACUGCAUUUGGAGAUAUCCCAAAUACAAAGCUCAGCACCAAUAUUAGUGAGUGCUAAUGGGCACUGUUUGUAAAUGACCAUUGUGAAGAUGAGGGCAAAAUACUAAGUCAAAUGAAGCUGACAAGAACAACCACAUUUUUGCAAACUCAGUGCACCCUUUUCGUACAGUUUGUUUACUUUCCUUUCAUCAUCAGCCAGGGAAUGUUUUGCUUUCUCCUUUAUUCCUCUGAACCACAGUUGUGAUUCAGCUGUCAGAUCAGUUUGCAUUUGGGACAGUAGAAAACUGCUGUCCAUUAAUGGUCACUGGACAGGCCCAACAAGUUAUUAUUUAGUGGAGGAUGGCUUACAGUUUUCAUUCACGGCCUGUGCUAGCCUAAUUAUUGCAAUUCUAAGAGAAGCGGUAGUGUAUCAUAUGGGGUCCUAGCUUACAUUUGUAAGUUUGCUGCCUUUCUGUCAGUCCUCAGCAAUGAAGGGAUAUUGCAGUACAGCAUUUCUCUGGCUUACGUUGCCACCGAUGUCAAAGAAGAGCAUUCGUGAUAGAAAUCUUCAGCAAACUGCUGGCCUCAUCUCAGGCAGGUUAUGUGAUAUCUGCAAUACAUAGAGCACUGAACUGCA
Molecule: long non-coding RNA, 5937 nt
Organism: Dromaius novaehollandiae (emu)
Lineage: Eukaryota; Metazoa; Chordata; Aves; Casuariiformes; Dromaiidae
Exons: 5
Source: RefSeq, a predicted model, not a curated record